AGUGGGGUGGCUGAAUGAUUAGGCGAUAAAUUGUAAAUUUAUUUAUGAAGAUUAAUUUCCUCUACUA
Molecule: transfer RNA, 67 nt
Filed under: Deuteronectes picturatus
Lineage: Eukaryota; Metazoa; Arthropoda; Insecta; Coleoptera; Dytiscidae
Description: tRNA-Tyr
Rfam family: tRNA
About the family: Transfer RNA (tRNA) molecules are approximately 80 nucleotides in length. Their secondary structure includes four short double-helical elements and three loops (D, anti-codon, and T loops).
Source: RNAcentral